This 301-nucleotide ribosomal RNA is filed under the name uncultured bacterium. RNAcentral's name for it is "partial 16S ribosomal RNA". It matches the Rfam family "Bacterial small subunit ribosomal RNA", at positions 509 to 807 of the family's 1533-position model. The record is from RNAcentral.
CAGUCGCCGCGGUAAUACAGAGGGUGCGAGCGUUAAUUGGAUUUACUGGGCGUAAAGCGUGCGUAGGCGGCUUCUUAAGUCGGAUGUGAAAUCCCUGAGCUUAACUUAGGAAUUGCAUUCGAUACUGGGAAGCUAGAGUAUGGGAGAGGAUGGUAGAAUUCCAGGUGUAGCGGUGAAAUGCGUAGAGAUCUGGAGGAAUACCGAUGGCGAAGGCAGCCAUCUGGCCUAAUACUGACGCUGAGGUACGAAAGCAUGGGGAGCAAACAGGAUUAGAUACCCCUGUAGUCCCUGUCUCUUAUAC